CAGCAAUAAAAAUGGUUAGCAAUAAGUAAAAGCCACAGCACUUUUCACUUCAUUCACUGCUGUGUCAUGUCAAAUUCCUAAUUCUUGUAUUCUUGCCUCAAUAUAUUUAAUAAAGGAGGGAAUAUCAAAAUAAUUGAAUUAUUCUUCAGAAGGAAAUCAAAUAUCAUCCCUUAGACUUCACUUGAUAAAGCUCCAAGACAUUUAAAAUUACCUUUUUACAGAUUAAUGUAUCUACCUGUACAUGAAUGUAUGUUCUUUCAUAUGUUUAAACGUGUAUUUGUGCUUUUCGAGGGUGUCCUUUCAUCAUCACUUUUCCAGAUGUCUCAGUUUACUCAGCUGCUCUUUACAAUUAAGUUUGUUGUUUAAGUCAGUUGGUCUGGCCACGAUGCUCUUCACAGCACAAGGAGAGACUGCCAGUACAGAAGGAUGUGAAAUAUGUAACACUCUUCUUCAACUCAUUUUCAGCUCAUGAUAUGAGACUUCACAACCUGCUAAAAUGAGCUUUCCUAAUAACUCAGGAUCUACCUGUCUAGGAAUAAACCAUCCUAACCAUGAGA
Molecule: non-coding RNA, 557 nt
Organism: Macaca mulatta (Rhesus monkey)
Lineage: Eukaryota; Metazoa; Chordata; Mammalia; Primates; Cercopithecidae
Source: RefSeq, a predicted model, not a curated record